RNAcentral lists this transfer RNA (71 nucleotides) under Cordylochernes scorpioides. RNAcentral describes it as "tRNA-Gly". It matches the Rfam family "tRNA". From Rfam's summary of the family: Transfer RNA (tRNA) molecules are approximately 80 nucleotides in length. Their secondary structure includes four short double-helical elements and three loops (D, anti-codon, and T loops). Lineage: Eukaryota; Metazoa; Arthropoda; Arachnida; Pseudoscorpiones; Chernetidae. The record is from RNAcentral.
GCAUCGGUUGUUCAGUGGUAGAAUGCUCGCCUGCCACGCGGGCGGCCAGGGUUCGAUUCCCGGCCGAUGCA